Molecule: RNA transcript, 2138 nt
Organism: Orcinus orca (killer whale)
Lineage: Eukaryota; Metazoa; Chordata; Mammalia; Artiodactyla; Delphinidae
Gene name: ras-related protein Rap-1b-like
Exons: 1
Source: RefSeq, a predicted model, not a curated record
CAGCGCUGGUAGCAGCGACCCGGAAGGGAGCGCGAGGCGACGCCGGCUGCGGGGACCCGGUGACAGUGCGAGAAGUACUAGAUUUUACAAGCUUGCACCAUGCGUGAGUAUAAGCUAGUCGUUCUUGGCUCAGGAGGAGCUGGAAAAUCUGCUCUGACUGUACAAUUUGUUCAAGGAAUUUUUGUUGAAAAAUAUGAUCCUAUGAUAGAAGAUUCUUAUAGAAAGCAAGUUGAAGUAAUGCACAACAGUGUAUGUUUGAAAUCUUGGAUACUGCAGGAACGGAACAAUUUACAGCAAUGAGGGAUUUGUACGUGAAAAACGGACAAGGCUUUGCGUUAGUUUAUUCCAUCAGAGCACAGUCCAUAUUUAAUGAUUUACAAGAUCUGAGAGAACAGAUUCUUCAAGUUAAAGACGCUGAUGAUGCUCCAAUGAUUCUGGUUGGUAAUAAGUGUGACUUGGAAGAUGAAAGAGUUGUAGGAAAGGAACAAGGUCAAAAUUUAGCAAGACAAUGGAACAACAGUGCGUUCUUAGAAUCCUCUGUAAAAUCAAAAAUAAAUGUUAAUGAGAUCUUUUAUGACCUAGUGUGGCAAAUUAACAGAAAAACUCCAGUGCCUGGGAAGGCCCACAAAAAGUCAUCAUGUCAGCUGCUUUAUUAUACUAAAUGCAUUGUAGCUCUGAGCCAGGUCUGAAGAACUAUUGCCCAAUUCAACAGCGCCAGCAUUCCAACUUUAUUAAACCUACCAACAUCUUAAACGGACUUUCUGUGGUGGUACCCUUUAAGGGGCGGAUGAAAGCUACUACAUCAGUUUGCACAUUCUAAUCACUUUCCAGGAUCACAAGAGAGAUUUUUACUUAUAUAAUAGUCCUAGAGUAUGCAGCUGGUAAAACCAGAGGCUACAAUCCAGUAUUACUGUUAAGAGACAUUUUUCAUCCACCAAUGUUGUACAUGUAUGAAAAUGGUGUACUGUAUACUUUAACACGCCCCAUACUUUAUAUUGGAGAGUACAAUAAUGUAAAUCCUAAAAGCACCACUAUUAUUUUAGCAUAAUAGAAGAGAGUCCAAAGAGCUCCUAUAUAGAGUACUCCAGAUAACUUCACUUCUUUGAUACUUGUAGCUUAUUGAAUUUUUAAAACAUAAAUUCAAGGUCAUUACCAUUAUAUUGUACAAAUAAGCGCUUUAACACAGCGAUAUAGUUUUUUAAUUUUUAAAAAUCUGUGGAGACAGUGAUCUUGUCUUUAAGAUAUGAUAGUCCUGGGCUUCCCUGGUGGCGCAGUGGUUGAGAGUCCGCCUGCUGAUGCAGGGGACAUGGGUUCGUGCCCCGGUCCGGGAAGAUCCCACAUGCUGCGGAGCGGCUGGGCCCGUGAGCCAUGGCCGCUGAGCCUGCACGUCCAGAGCCUGUGCUCCACAACUGGAGAGGCCACAACAGUGAGAGGCCCACGUACCGCAAAAAAAAAAAAAAAAAAAAAGAUAUGAUAGUCCUUUCAGUAUAAUGUCUUAAAGACGUUGCCUUUAAUAUCUGUUGGGAAGGAAAUGUCCAGACUUUUCAAAUCUUUUAUUAUGUUUCCUUUUUUGUUUACAUAGGGAACAAUGUUUAUAGUUGUGUGUACAGUGGGGGGUCUACAACAAGAAGUGUAUAUUUUCAAACAAUCUUUUAAUGAUUUAACAAUUUUUGUAAAUCAUUUUCAGGCUUCUGCAGCUGUAGAUUCUCACUGUGAAUCCCCUGCUUGCUCAUGCAUAAGUGUAUUUGCAAUACCAAAUAUACAGGUUUAGUAUUUUUGCCUGUUAGUGAUUGUUUCACAUGUGUAACGUUUUGGUUGAGAUGUUAAAUGGUGGAUGAGUACUGUGGAUGUGAAUGUGGGAAGAAAUUUUAAUCAUGUGUAAUUGGUCACAAGGCCUAAGUUGCAGUAACUAUUGCUGUUUUAUUUAACGAUGCCUUGUUGCUUUGUAUGCACUAACAUUUGGGUGUAAACACUGUGUGUCUAUCCAACAGGGAGCCACAGUAUUUAAAUUGACCAACCUAAUGUUACAACUCCUUUUGAGGUGGCCAAACGUAAACUAAAAGCCUUAAUUAAAGUGGUGCAAUUUUGCAUAACUUAGCAUCAGUAGUUCAAUAAAUUUGGAUUGCCAAAAAAAAAAA